GGACCUUUUUCUUAGUGGCCAGUUGGGGUCUUCAGCCACAGGAGAGCGCGAGUCCCAGGCGAAGUGGGGCAGAGGCAGGGGCCCCACUGAGUCUCGGCCCGGUCCUGGGGGCCCUGAUGCCGAUGGGCUUUCCCCUCCCGGGGGGCUCAAGUCUCCUGGGCAGUUUUGUAUGGGACAGACCAAUCUCCUGGAUGGCAGACAAGCUGAGCGUGCUGGGCCCCUUCUCCUCCCUGGCUCCCUUUCUCCGUCCCACGGGGGCUUGGGCUCCCAGGGUUCUCUGAGCCCUUUAGCCCUGCCAAGCUACCUUUCCUGUGUGCACACGAGGCACCCCGCAGAGGACCUGCCAAGGCUGCCCACCCACUGGUCCUCCCAUGAAAACAGAGGCUGAAUCAGAAGAGACGGGGAGGCAGGCGCAACGAGAAGGAAACCUGGGUGCUUUUACUCCUCUGACAGCAGAGAACAGAGAGGGCCCACAGGCAAAGGUUUCUGGCACAGGGAUCCCGGACGGUCCCCUUGGAUGGGGCCUGAGAAAUAGAUCCUUGUUGAAUUGACCUUUGACCAGUGGAGGGGGUCUGUCCCGAAAUUGGGGGGCAGAGUACUGGCUGGAAGCCUGGGUCUCCACCCUCCUCCCCACCCCCAGGACCUCUCGCUUCAGGUCCCUGAUCCCACCCUGCCCAGGCAGAGCCCCAAGAGGCAAAGUCUGGGCUGGGAGCCUCUGACCCCCUUCCCGGCCCAACUCAAACGGGAUCCUCAGGGCUUCUUUCCAGGGACAGGCCACAGGGAACCCAGCCCCCAGCCCCCCGCCCCCCCCCGAGUCAGGGCAAAACUGCUCAGUGACAUCAGAGGAGCAAGAGGAGGUGGCUUGGCCUGGGGUGGGCCCAGCCAGGCACUGUGGAGGAAAAGACCCCUGGGCUUGGGCAGCCGGGAAGCUCUGGGAUCUCCCCCCCAGCAGUUCAGGCUGUGGGCAGUGGGCAGCUCAGGUGCCCAGCUCCCGCCGCAGCUUGACGAUCUCCAGGACCAGUUUCUCCUUUUCCAGGAGAAUCUUCUCUUUCUGCAGUUGCAGCGUUUCCUUUUGCAGCUCCAGUAUCUCCGUCUGGAGGCGACUCUGCUUGGCCACUUCCCCAGAAUCCUUCUCUGGCAGCCCCUCCUCGCUGGGCCGGGGGCCGGGCAGCAAGUCCUCCUCCGCGGUCACCACCGAGGCGCUCACUGAGGGAGAACAAUGGAAAAGGGGGAGGAGAGACAAGGAAGUCAAAGAGGAGGGGAGCCUGGCCGGCCUAACUGGGAGAGGAGAGCAUGGGAUAUAAGGGGACAUGGGAGAAGCAGCAGAUCGGACCAGAGGAUGCUGGGACCCUGGACUGCAAGAUGGUGGGACCCUGGAUGGGAAGACCACUUGGACCCUGGCCACAUUUGCAGCCCAGCAGCAAGCACUAGAGCUGGAAGCAGAGGAUCUGGGGUCAAGCGCCAGGUCCAGCACUUUCCUCUUGUCACUGGCAGGAUGGUACAGUGGGAAAACCCCCUCUCCUUGGAGUCACAACAUCUGGAUUCAGAUUCCCCGCCUCUCCCCCACACUGUGGAAUGCUGGGGCUCGGUUCCCUUCUUCACAAAAGGGCAGCCCCGGACUCCACUGGCUCUCAGAUGCUUUCCAGUGCUAAAUCCGGGAUCCCAGUGAGUCAGUGAGUCCCGGCAGGUGACAGGCUCAAGGUCACCAGUUCCCAGGCAGGCAAAAGGGACCAAACAAAUGGCCCCAGAAGGGAUGAGGCUGGAGGCUGUGGCUUGGGACACGCCCACCCUGGGCUCCAUCUGUGGGCGGGGUCUGCUCUAAGUGCUUGUUCAAUCAGGGAAAGCCACAGGCUGGGGGUGGCAGACAAAGGAGCUCUGUGGCUCCAGGGUGCCGCCGCCAUCCCCUCCCUCCUCUCUUCAGACACUCAGAGAUGGCUCCUAAUUGGCAUCGGGCCCAGGUCUCCCUCCCCUGCAAAGGGACCAGAGUUAUCUGUCACUGCUCCGCGGAGGGCCGGCCCAUGCCCGGGCCCUGUGGUUUCUGCCAGCCCUGCUUGGUGGGAGCCUUGCCCAGCUCUGCCCAGGCCCCCAACACAGUUUCUAUGGCCCCAAGUGUCUGUGAUCCCCCUGGGCUCCCUGGGAACGCUGGGAGUCAGAGAACCUCAUUAGGCCUCAGAAGAGGCCUCUGAGGUCCCAAUGUUCCAUCUUUGGUGCCUCCGCCAUGUUCACGGGCAAGUCCUCUAGAGGGGAAAGUCAGUCCUUUUGGAAGGAGAGCAGACCAACAUCACUCAGAGGAGGAGGGGGGAUGUCCCGGCUGGCUUGGCUCCCGGCCUCCCCGUCUCCAUUCUGCUCACACUCGAGUCCAUCCCCCACAGAGUGGGCAGGUAACUAUCACCUCCCUGCUCAACAACCUCCCAGGCCCCACAGCUCCCCAAAUUACUGGUCUUGCCCUUUAAGGUCCCUGGGAUCAGCCUUCCCGUGGUGGCUUCUCCCCACCUGGGCCCUCUCCCUGGCACCCCCAGCACCUCGGACAGAGCCAGCCAGCACAGGGCACUCCGGGCUCCGCUUCCCGCUUCCACGCGAUGUUCCACAUAAAUCGCAUGGGCGUGGGGCGCUGGGCACAGGGUGCGGGGCACGGGGUGCGGGCAGGGACGGCUGAUGCUUGUGGAGAGCGUGAACCAGAGUGGGCAGUCAUGGGCUCUCCCUCAGCCUGUCCUUGGGGAUCCACCAGGGUGACUCCUUCUAAUGGCCCCAAAUCAUCCCUGCCCGGAGUCCAGCCCAGGCCACUAUGUCGGCCCUGGCUUGUCCGGGAUCUGCCCAGCACCCCCCUCCUCUGUGUUGUACCGUUCCUUCCCCCCUCCCCCUUGCCCCAGGCUGGGAGUGACUCCAAGUGGAGCAGGAAUGCUGGGAUCUCUGGGCAGGAAGCAUCCACCGCCCUUCACAACUGCACGCGAAUCUCCUUCCCGACAGGCGGCAAGGGGGCACCCGCCGCCUGGUGGAGGGAAACCAGCACCCGUGGGGAGGGGGCGCCUUCCCCUGGGGACGCGCUCAUCGGUGGGGAAGGCUUCCCUGCACUUCCUACCCAACGCUACAAAAUCUUCCAACUGACUGCGUGAGGUUUUCAGGGCUCUCCCAAACCUGCCUCUGCUGGAAGUGCACAGCCACGCACUGGCCAGAUUUCAGCGCGUCUGGAGGGGAGACGCCCCGUUUCUGGCCCCCCACCCCCGGCCCGCUCCACUGCACUUCAGCACCCCCCAAGUGAUGAGCUCGCCGGCUUCACGUGCGCACACCCAAGGUUCCCGGCAUGCACUGCGCCUGAUUCUGCGGGGAAGAGGAGUCCUGAUCUGUCUCCCCUCUCUUCUUCCUCCACCCCCCCCCACUUUCUGGUAUCCAUGUUGACACAUCCUGCAACGGGCCUCUCUGUGGAAUGGGGGCGAGGUUGGCGACCUGCAGAACUCCCUCCCAGGCAAGGAAGAGCUGUCCGCAGUGCCGAGACCCAGGCCCUCCUGUGGACUUCCCAACACUUUUCUCAGUGACUUGGAUGAAGCUGCACCACACCCUUAUGUCUCUGGAGCCAAACUCCUGGAAAAGGCCUCUGGAUCCUCUCACACUCAGGGACAGUUCCAGCUUCCGACAUCACCGUUCCCCAAAGGGAUCCCUUAGGUGCUACAGCCAGUAGCCUUUUCUCCACCCUCCUGCUCCCUGCCUCUGUGCAGUCUGCAGCAUGCCCGGUAUACAGCAGCCUCCUCCAUCAGAUCACAAGCUCCCCGAGGCAGGAACUGGGCUCUUUUCGUAUCCUUGGGAGCCAGGACAGCGCCUGACCUUAGUGGUGCUUAAUAAAUGCUGGCCAAUGGACUGAUCGUUCCAUCUCGGAAUGGAGCCCGGGCUGCAGGAAGAGGAGGUGAUUGUCCUGCUGGGAUCCUCAGCCUUCAUCAAGUGCCCCUCAGUUUAAGAGAGGCACCGAGAAGCUGAGAGUCCAGAGGGGACGGCCAGGAUGGUGGAGGGCCUGGGCUCUGUGUCAUGGAAGGAUCAGCUGAAGGAACUGGGCAGGUUUCCCCCAACAAAGACUCGGGGCAGGGCAUGCACAUGGAGCUCCAGUACCUGAAGGGACAUGCUUUGGCUGUGGUAAAGCUCAAGGAAGCUGGCUGGAGAGAAACGCCCCCUCACAAUCACAGCUGUGCCAUAUCGGGGCCUGACGUGCCAGGGAGGUGGUGGGUGCCACCGAUUAAUGUUACAUGUAAUGGCGGGGCCUCCUCCCUCUCACCAACAGUCCCCUCUGUCCAGGUCCCUUCCCUGAUUCUGCAACACCGGCCCCUCAGGGGCCGCUAGGGAUGGCCCGAGCCUGUCACGGGAGCAGCAGAGAGUGGACGGUGAUUCCCGAGGGCACAUGAACCAGGGUCGCCGAUUUGGAGGCAGCAGAGAAGCUGAAGGAAGCCGGGGGCAUCGCAGUGCCAGACUGAAGACUCCUCUUCCCAAGUUCAAAUCCUGCCUUAGACACUCACCAGCUAUGUGAUGCUGGGCUAAUCCCCAAACCCAUUAGCAAUUUCUGCCAAGAGAACCCCAAAUGGGAUCGUGAAGAGUCGGAUGCAACUGAAAAAUGACUGUCGGGAGAGAAUAAUCCAACCUUGAAUCUGAUCCUUUCCCAAACAUCCUGACCUAAGACCUCCGGGAAGCUCCCGCCUGCCUGGGACAGCUCUGAUCCUCAGGGAACUUUUCCUCUCGUCCCCUCCGCGUUCUGUCCCCCGGGGCCAAGGAGCACAAGGCCCGAGCUAUCUGUAAAGUGCUGAGCACGGAGCCUGGUACACAGUGGUGCUAUAAAAGCUUAUUCCCUCCCCUUCCAAUCCUUAGCCCAUGGAGAUCCCUUUUUUCUCUCUCCCGGCUUUGACACGUGAAGGGAGGGGAAGUAAGCAUGGCUGACCUGCCUCCAUCCAAGUCAUUAACAAAUGUGCGGGUCAGAUGCCCAGCGCACCCCCUCCAAGAAAGGGCUCACUCUAGAGCACGGCCAAAGCUUUCACCGAUGGCAUCAGAAUUAGAGCACAUUCUUUUUGGUGAGAAAACUGAGGGUCAGAGUGGUCCCAGAGCCUGCUCUGGCUGGGUCACUGAGCUACACAGUGUCAACGCCAGGAUUUUCUCAGACAGGGCCAGGAUCACCGACAGGGAGACUGGCGAGAGCCAUGGGGCCGGGGGGAGCUCACAGCACUUAGCAAUGUGUCUGAACGUCACAGCUUCCCCCCAAAUGUGGCCUGGGUCAAACCUGAGCCUGGACUCUAUGAAGACUGGUUCUCUUGAGCAACGACCACCAAGAAGGGCAGGGUACGGACAAAAAGAAUCUCUUUAUUUGAAAUGAGAGAGUUUCCUCAAGGAAAUUUCUUUAGCCUCUCCUUUUCCCAUCAUCGCCACCCCCGACAGCCCAUUUUUCAGACUGCUGAUGGACAACUGGUAAGAAACGGGGAAUUAUUGUUUCCUGUCUAACUCUAUGUUUCUUUCUAUCAAACCAGUUUGGUGAGAAGUGGAAAUGGCAACGAUCCCAGAGGGAGAAGACCUGGGCUCUGACACCUUGUGGUGGGACCUCGGGCAAUCACAGCCUCGGUUUCCUCAUCUGUCAGACCAAGGGAUAACCCUAAAGGACCCAAGAGCCGAGGGCCCUCCUCUCGGGGCCCCAUUUCUAAGGGACCUCACUAGGCUUAAAUAAGGCCAGAGAGGGCGCGGGAUGCUCACCGUUGUCGGUCAUGGCGGUGUGGAUUCCUUCCGUGCUCAGAGGGUCCAAGCGGCCACUGGGCGUGACGGGGCUGGCGCUCACUGCCAAGCAGGGCCAGUCUAGCAAGGGGCUGACGGGGCAUUUAAUCUUAUAUGUCAGAGCCGGGUCCGGGGACGGGCUCGCGGGGACCGGCAUCGUGCAGAGGUGGGGCAGGUCCCCGGGAGGGCCCUCGGGCGAGACGGCCCCGCCGGCCGCGGCGGGAUGCACCUGGGCCACGGGCUCGCAGUGCAGGGGCAAGUCCUUCAGCGGGUCAAGCAGCCUCUUCUCACCGUAGUCGGAGGCAUCUUCGGUCAGGGCGUCCUCCUUGAAUCGGGCCUGGACGUCCACGGGGGACGGGAGGAGGCUCUUCCCCGAGACCUCGGGCCAAGAGUCCAGCUUCCUGCUGACCUCAAUCUGACAGAGACCCUCCCUCUCCUGGCCGGGCUCCAUGGCGGCGCCCUGGGGCCGGAGCACCAGGCCGGGGUCCAGAAAGCCUUCCACCUUGCAGGCGGGCUCGGAGGGGCUGGGGGGACCUUUAGUCCGAAAGCCGGGGCCCGCCGCGUACAGCGGCUCGGGGAGCUCGGAGCCCGUCUUGUUGAACAGGGCAAAGAUGUUGUGGAAGAGGCGCUCCUGGGGGCGCCGCCGCAGCAGGGGGUGCUUGGCGGUGGCCAGCUCCUUGCGGGCGUCCAGGAUCAUGUUCUUCCACUUCUUGCGGACCUCUUCGGGCGUGCGCUGGACGAGGGGGUUCAGCGAGUUCACGGCCAUCGUGAUCUCCUCCCAGGCCCGCUGCCGGUCCGUCGUGUUGCGGUAGCGGCCAGUCUUGGGGAUGAGGAUGUCCUUGCGCAGGCUGAACUCUUCCAGGAUCACAAUCUUCUCUUCCUCGGAAAACUUAAUUCUCUUUGGCUUGGCUGUCAUCAUGGUGACCCUGAAAAAAACCCAGCCCGUCAUGCCCAAGCCCGCGCCGCCCCACGGAUGGCCGCCCGGGGACCUCCCCUGGGGAACCUCGCAGCCCCAAGGCCCAGGACCGGCCCCCUCCCGGCCCGGCCCCCCCAGCUGGCCUGGCCAUGUCCCGGCGGCUCCCACCCCCGUGCGCUCCCUGCCUCCCGGGCAUCCUGGGGGGGGCCCUGCCCCCUCGGAGGGGUUGGGGUCCCCCGGGACCCGCAGACCGGGGCGGGGGGGGGGGCUCCCUGGAGGUCACCCUCCCUGCUCUGAGACCUCCCUGACCGCCUCCCCCACCUCCCCCGGGACCUGUUCCUGGCCACGCCCCCGGGCGGGCGCCCCGAUGUUCCAGCCUCUGGGAGGGGACCCCUCGCGGGGCACACGGGUCUCCCUUUGGGGUCGUGCGCCGGGCGGCGCUUCCUCUCCUCCCAGGCUGGGGAAGGGGGGGGCGGGGCGCCGGGCCCCAGACCCGAGUUCCAAUCCGACCUCCGACCCGGGCGCGCUGCGGGACCCUGGGCAAGCCUGUUCGCGCCUCAGUUUCCCCAUCUGUACAAUGGGGGCCACAGCCGCACCUACCUCCCAGGGUGGCUGCGAGGGUCGCAUAGACCAGGACGAGGCCGGCCGAGCCCUCCCUCGGGGUGCGGCGCCGGGCCUCCGUCGGUGGCCGGGCCGGGGCCCGCCGCGCACACGCGCGCGCCCUCCCAACCCGCCCGAGGCCGGGGCACCCGCCCCCACCAGUGGCCGCGGAGGCGGCUCCCAGCCGGUGUCCGGGCUGCGCGCGGCGAUGACGUCACGGCGACGCCAUCGCUCUGCGCCGACGACCUCCGGACACCGGGCGGGGCGGGCGCGGUUGCCCGGGGAACGGGGAGGCGUGACCGGAGGUCACGUGCUCCCGAGCGGCGACGGCGGCUCCCCGGAGCCAAUCCUCUCAUUCCCGCGGGCGCAGGAGGCGCCCCCGGCCUGUGGGCCACGCCUCCCCCUCCCCGUGACGCGCUCCCGGUCUGUCCGGUCCCCCGCAUUUAUUAAACCCUGACCGUGGGACACAAACUGUGUGAAGCCCCGGGGAAACCGAGGCGAAGGCGGGCCCCGCCCCCGGGGAGCCCCGUGUAACUGGGGGGGGGAGAGGGGGAGGGGGAGCGCCUGCCAAUCAGCCCCGUCCGGAGCAGCCGUCAGGGAAGGGCCGGAGCCGAGAGAUGGGGGAGGAGGCGGGGAGGGCUCAGCACCAGCCAGAGCCUUCGCGUCUGACCCCGGAGGCGACAGGGCCACGUCUGUGCUUCGGGAAGAUCAGUUUGACGUGGCCGGGGGUGGGGGGGGGGGCUUGGAUCGGACCGGGGACGGAGCCAGGGGCAGGGAGGACCGAGCACAAAGCUAUCGCCCAGAGUCAGGAGUGAACAGAGCUUUAUGUCACAGCCACAGACACAUGCAAAUGUGUGCCCAGCGCAAACCCACACCCGCCCGGAUGGGGAAUGUUUCGAGUUCGCGGGACUCGGAGAUAGGCCGACCCCGCGCUGUGAGCUCGGAGACGAAGGAAAAGUUAGGGCGGGCUCCGGUUUGGCCCUUUGGGAUGUCUGCGGGACAUCCGAGCCGGGGCAGGCAAUCAGGGCUCCCCGACUGGAAAAAUCAGCCCGGGAGUAUCCAGUUUGGAGAUCCCGCCGGACAGGGAGGUCGCCAGUCUGAGGAGUCUACGGUAGCGUCGGGCGGAAGGGAGAAGCGGCGGAACGGCCGGGAGCACUGUGUAUUUCCUUCUCUGUGUAUACACCGUCCCCCGUCCCGGUAGAAGGGAAGCUUUCUUUUCGAGCUGAAUCCCCAGCCCCUUGCAGCGUGUCUUCCAGAGCAAGGGCUUCGUACAUGGGGGGUGGACCGAAUCCUAUGCGCUAGCCAAAAAUAAAACGGGCCGUGCCCCUGCCCCUUCUCCGUUUGCCUCCCGUUCUCCCGGGCUCUUUCUGCUGCCGUCAGCAUUUAUUAAGUGCCUGGGGUAUGCCAGGGAGUGUGAGUAAGUGCACUAAACACCACGAAAGAGGAAACGGUCUCCAGGCACGGAGCACCGUCCAACGGCAAACAACUACGUGCAAACAAGGUGUAGCCGGUCGGCAGGAGGAGGAGCCCUCCCGGAGCCUCGGCCUCCUCCCGGGGUCCCUGUCCCUCCUUCCCCGGCACCGGGACCCGCUGGGCGCAGGCUUCUUCGAAGCCCGGUGACUCUUUCUGGGGCCCUCGGUCUCAUCCCGGUGUCUCCACUAGUGGGCGGUUCGGAUCCGGUCCCAGGCGGCCUCGGGCAGCCCGCCCUCCCCCUCCCGGCGGUCCAGCUCCUCCCUCUCCCUCCUCCCUUCCAGCAGCCUCGGCUCCCCGCCCCUCCCCGGGUCGCAGCCCUCCGAGCCGCUGGGGGCGCUGUCCGGGAUCGCGGACACGUCCAGGCGCCGGCGGGGGGGGAAGGCCGCGCUCGGUGGCCCGGAAGCCGGCGCGGAGCCGGGAGUGCGUGCCGGAGGCUCGCUCCCCGCCGAUCACGGACCCGCCGGAGACCUCUCCACAGCCAGGGGCCGCCGCCGCCGCCGCCUCCAUGGGCGCCGAACACCAGACCCGCCUCUGCCUGGCCAGCUGCGGCCCCGCCACGCCGCCCGCCCUGCUAGAACUGCUGCGCAUGCUCCAACGAUUCUCCGGGUGAGCCGGGCCCCGCCCCC
Molecule: long non-coding RNA, 9348 nt
Organism: Sarcophilus harrisii (Tasmanian devil)
Lineage: Eukaryota; Metazoa; Chordata; Mammalia; Dasyuromorphia; Dasyuridae
Source: Ensembl